UACGUAGGGGGCAAGCGUUGUCCGGAAUUAUUGGACGUAAAGAGCUCGUAGGCGGUUUGUCGCGUCUGCCGUGAAAGUCCGGGGCUCAACUCCGGAUCUGCGGUGGGUACGGGCAGACUAGAGUGAUGUAGGGGAGACUGGAAUUCCUGGUGUAGCGGUGAAAUGCGCAGAUAUCAGGAGGAACACCGAUGGCGAAGGCAGGUCUCUGGGCAUUAACUGACGCUGAGGAGCGAAAGCAUGGGGAGCGAACAGG
This 253-nucleotide ribosomal RNA is filed under the name uncultured bacterium. RNAcentral's name for it is "partial 16S ribosomal RNA". It matches the Rfam family "Bacterial small subunit ribosomal RNA", at positions 524 to 776 of the family's 1533-position model. The record is from RNAcentral.